UUUUUUUUUUUUUUUUUUUUUUUCUGAUCUGUUAAGCAUUCCUUUUAAUUCAUCUCAUCUACUGCAGAUAUUCAAAAGAGAAGUAUAGGUGAUGGAUAGUCAGUCCAAACCAUAUGCUUCUGAUAAAAAGUCUCAGGUAGGUACUGAGUGGUAGCUAAUGCAGACCAACUAUUAACUGUUAAUGAAGUAGGCAUAAGGGUCUAAAUUAUUGAGACUAUAGUACAAUGAUGAUUUAAUUUACUUUAAGUUCACACUGUAAGUAGAGAUGUGGUAGCCUGCAAACACAGUCUGGAAGCAGAGACUCCAUAUGGCUGCAGUAUUCCAUGAUAAAAGCUGGAAUUUUUCUCCAUCCCCUAAAAAAAUCCCAAACUCCAUGAAACAUCAUUUCUCAACCUGUGAAAUGAAAGUUGUCAACAACAUGGUUGUCAACAACCAUGGCACAAAGGACCCUACAAAUACAUGUGGGGUCAUUUUGUAGAUGUACCCUGCCAUAGUGGCAUAUAUAUUGCAAUCAUGGCCAGCAUAUGAAAUGCACACAUGAAUUUUGAUAACUGAGUUCUGGAUAAUUUACAACUGAAUUACACUCAAAUCAGACAAGUAAUACUCAUGGAGUAUUUUUUACUAGCUGAUAACUUCAACCAGACCCAAGAUGGUAUCUUCAGAUAACUGGGGGUGCUCUAGUGAGUGAGUUGCACUUUAAAAAAAAAUUGUCUAUCUGCCUAUCUUAGCUCUUUCAUGGAUCCGUUACUAGCAGAAUUGGAAAUUUCCCAGUAGGAUCAAGAGUUUAUACUUAACACAAAGCAUAUUUAAUUUUCUUUGGCUUGUCUUAAAAGCAAGGGUCAUUAGUUAGGUGAUCUGCUGAUUGUAGCUGAAGUUUGCAAAAAUUUCUUUUGAUAAAAUGGAUCUUUGUCCAAAAAAGAAAGCAGGAAGCAAAAUUCAAAUCUCUAGGAACAGUCUUCAGAAUUUAAUCCUUCAUCUUAAAAUGGGUUUAGCCCGAGGAAAGACUUAAAACUGUCUAACUGGAUAGAGGUAUCCAGCCGCAGAAGGCAGAUCUGCUGGUGCAGCCUGGUGAAACAUGGGGAGCAAGACAUGACAACUCUUUUGCCUCAGACCUUCUUGGCACACUGAGCAGCCUAGGUUUAGCCAUCAAACAAUUGCAUGCAGAAUAGCGAAGUACUACAAGCUGGCUGUGUGUAAACAAUGCAAAAGGCAAAUCUGUAGGAUUGCAUCUACCAGCUGAAAUCUAUGGGCCAGGAAGGGAGGUAGAAGUGAAGCCCCAGCUGCACCCAGGGGCUGGGAAGUCUAGGGUCCCAGAGAAUGUCUGCAUUUUAGACUGCACACAUGCAGUGACCAUAAGCUGUCCCCGGGAGCUGUCCCUCCUCAGGUUAGCAUGGUUGGCAGUGUCAGGAGGAGGAAGUACAUCUGUGCAAGCUCCACAAGAAGGGACCUCUGAUUCUUCUUUGAUGUAAAUCUGGGCUGCAGCAUGAGUUUUGGUCCUAUUCAUUCCUGAGGGAUGAGAGCCCUCUGUAAUAAUAGAGAGUAAAGGCAACUGAAGGGGAAAGGCAGAGGCAUUUGAGAUAAUUAUCAUGUACAUCCAGGGGCCUGUGAUGUUCCCAGUUCCUUCUUCAGACUGAGCUGAGAGUGAGGGAGCAAUGCUAACUUUGGUACCCUUUUGUGGGCCUUACGCAUACAGCUCCUGCUUGGGCAUGCAGUCUGCAAGCACUCAGUGGAAUUGGCUGGAUCUGGAGCCUCUCUGGAAUGUCAUGUCAAAGACUGGUAGAUGCAAGGACACAAGGCCCCAUCUGGAUCUCUGAGAGGCAGAAUGGGAGAGAGUCCCCUAGUCAGCUUCACUGGUGCUUGCCACAUGCUUAAGAUCUAGCACAUUCUAGCUUGCUCUGCUGGUUUGCAGCCAGAUUCCUCUGCUUCAGGCCCAUAAAAUGAGGGAAAGUGUGGUGCUUGAGCUCUUUCACAAAUUAAUGGUGGUAAGACUUGGAGGGAGGCUGAGAAAACACUGCCCUCAAAGCACAUGUGCAAGUCCUAAGCCAGAGUCCUACCGGGACUGGUGAGAGCCAGGCUGAAGCUCUGGCUGCCAACUUAACAGACUAAUUAAGAAGUAAAAAGAGGUUGUUAAAAAACUCAUAUCAACUUCAGAGUACCUUGUGAGCAAGAUGCUUUUAACUUGGCAGUUGAUGUCUCCAUGAAGACAUCCUACCAGUAGCCAUCCUGCUGAAGCAUGGUGUGCACUGGCACUACGAUAGUGCCCUGACAAGAAAGCUAGUGGAUCACCUGGAAAAGGUAUACCCUUGUUCAUGGUAUAGUUUACAGACCCAUGCCCAGACGGGCUUGAUAGCCAUUCCUCCCUGCUCUGCCCCCAUUCAUUGCACUAGUGCAACCCCCACAUGACUCCUGCUUCAACAUGUUGCAUUACAUGAUGCCUUGUGUGCUGCAAUAGAAUUUAGGCUGUAUCAAGGUGAAAACAUACUUGUUCUGAACAGUGAUAUAAAUAUAAUAACUACCUCCAGGAGCAACCCCUCCAUUUGUGAGGUUUAUGCCAAAGGCUCAGGAUACCACACACCUCCCUUGCUUUAUCUCCCUUCUCUGGUCCCACUGAGGAUUGAACUGUGGAUUUAUUCUCUAGUCUGGAGUAAAGGACAAACCAGGAUAUGAAUUGUAAUUCAGCUACUCUCCAAAUUGUCUUUCUCUGCAGCUCCAUAUUUCUCUGCAAUCUAGCCUCCUGGUGGUGGUGCAGAAUGGCUCUGGGAGCCGAUAAGGAUGCCAGCACACCAUGCAGGACCUCUAAGGUGCAGACCUUGCCUGAGAUCUAUUCCUACAGCCCCUACCUAGUGUGGUCCACCAGGAACAUCCCUGGAGCUGCAGAGACCUUCACCAUGGAUGGGGAGAAGUGGGUGGUCCAUGCAGUGGGAGUGAAGCAGGCAUUUUACCACUAUUAGAGAACGAAUUGUUACAGAAUUCGGCCUCCAAAGCAUGUGUGUCUGCUUCUGGCACUGGCUGGGGGCCAGCCAGCUGCUGCUGCCUGGGGAAAAAGACAUGGUGCCAGCCAGCAUGCAACACUACCACUAGUGGCUGAGUACUUAAGUGCUGUCAGUCCUUCUUUCCCCUCAUCCUCCUCCUCCUCCUCCUUCUCUCAGGGCAAACUUCUGGAAUGCAGAGGAACAUGUGAUGGGGUAUCAGAGGUCUCCUGCACCAGAACCCAAAGAAGAAGGUUGUGCAUCCUGGUUGGUAUUAAGGGUGUGUAGUACAAUAGCCAGGCCCUGUUUUUACCGUGUGAGCAUCACCACUGACCACACUUCACCAUUUCUCCAACAGAAAAAAAAAUUUUGAUGAAACAUGAAUAUAAAAGAGGGAAAUGCUUUCCCUACAGAUGAAGGGUUCAUGGCAAGUAACAAGGGUUUGGAAACUCAGAAUUGCUCUCUUUUUAAAAAGAGAGCAGAAGAAGGUUAAUGAGCACUGAUUUUUAGUGUAACUGUGUUACAAAUGCAAGUUCCCAUACGCUCCUGAGAGCCAGCUUAUUUCUGCCCUAAUGAGCAAGCUGAAACACAGCCUCGUGUAUGCUGCCAAAGGCAGAGCCAGAAUACUCCAACACAAUAAAAAUUCUCCACUGCCCUCAAGCCUCCAUCUAAAAUUGUAUCCAAACCUGAAGUGAAUUAUUUCUGAAAGAGUAAUUACUUCUUGAUUACUUUUUACCAACCUCUAGGCUCCCAGGCUCCAGGCAGAAGUCAAACUGUCAGAUGUCAAAAGGGAGAGAGAGAAAAAAAAAUGUUCAUACUGCUACUCCAACCCAGCUGGAAGAAAGGAACACAAUAAAUCUUUGCUUGUGGGAGCUCCAGACCACUUUCCAGAGGCUGUGUUUCUUCUGAUGCAUUUCUGAUAAGCCUCCAAACCCUGACAGAAUUCUGACCUACCCUUGCUGCAUAACAUGGGAAAGGAGGGGAAAGCUUGGCACCAGCAGAGAGACGCAAAGGUGAGCGCACGUGGAGGGCAGACCAUCUCCACUGGCUGCUUUUCAGCCCUCUGUGGAGGUGGGCUAGAAGGGGGUCUGGCCCUUCUCUUCCCACCCCAGCCAAAAGCCAGCACAGGUCUCCCACCUGGUGAAGCACCUUUCACCACCAGCAGACUGGUGUGGUGCAGGAAUGAUCCCCCUACCAGGAGCUGCCUACCAGCCCUUGCCCAGACCAGCUGGUGCAUUUUCAAACUCUCCCUCCUCCCCAAGCCUCAUUCCUCACAUCAAACCCUUUCAGAGAGGAUUUGAAAUUCUUCCCUAUUUAGCUAUCUUGGCUGGGCACGACAGCUGCUUGCAUGCAGUACCCCCAGUUUUCUCCAUCAUCCGGUGGAGCACGCUAACCACUCACAGGCAGACGUCCUGCUGGGUCCAGACCACAGUUCAGGUUGGGUGAGGAUUUUGAAGCCCAGCACAUCACUUUGCUAAUGACCGGUUUCUCUGACAGAGUCCUGUCAAUGAUCACUCUCUUUAUACUUAAGAUAAUUUGUACUCUUGUAUCUCCCCCAACACACUUCUAAAAAACAUUUUCCUUUCUAAGCAGUGAUAGUGGGUACUGGAUACAGUAUUCCUUGAACAGGUAUGUUUCUUUUUUCCAUAGUGUCAUGUGACACUUUAUAUUUUGCUUUUUAUACUUUUUAACAGAUCCUUACAUAAAAGCUUUCUUAGUAUGGAGCUUUUGCUAGUGAAGAAUUUUCUUCUGUGAUUUCAAUCUUCCUAGGUUUCUUCUUGAGAGACAUUUGCUCAUUUAUAGUCUAUCCAUAUGUAUGUAAGGCUAGGGCUGUUUUUCCCUGCAUGCAUAAUGUGAAAGGCUCUUUUUUACCGUUGAAUUUCAUCAUGGCAGUUUAUCACCCAGUCAUUCAUUGUCAGUGAACACUGAGAAAGUAAUUUUUCCCUAGCAUAGCUAAUGGAAUUAUGCAUGGCUUUUCCUUUGUGGGUGAAUAUCACCAGUGCUGCAGCCCUUGACCAGAUGUCUCGGUUAUAGCUGAAUAAGUGAAGAAUGCUGGAAGGAAUGUGAGGUCUAAUUCAAUCUCAAAAGAAAGAGUCUGAUCCGGAACAUAUUUUAUUCCUGUAAGUAUUUUAAAUUAUGGCUUCCUUCCCUCAUUUCUCUUUGAUUGAGCAGAUGCUAUGUAGCAUCAGGACUACUUUGGGGAAUAUUUCAUUCAAAGUCACCAUGCACUGGUUGGGUUGGAUUUAUUUCCGUAACUUCAUUCAACCACAAGGAUACCACAUAUUUUAUAUUCCUCGGUAUAUCAAAGCCAAGAGGCUAGAUAUGAAGCCUCUUCAGGUAUGUAAGUCAAUUUUUAAAAUGAAAAAUGAAAAUCAGAAGAUGGAAUACAGCACAAAUAGGUGUGUUACAAUGGACCUAAGAUUCUCAUCUCACACAUCAGAUCUAUUAUCUGAUCUACUAUUAAGGCUUUGUGGAGGAAUCAAAAAAACACUAUAUUUUCACAAAACAGUGUAGCAGUAAUAGUCCUGGUUUAGGGUCAAGGCUGUG
This 5516-nucleotide long non-coding RNA is filed under the name Taeniopygia guttata (zebra finch). RNAcentral's name for it is "lncRNA (ENSTGUG00000026600.1)". Lineage: Eukaryota; Metazoa; Chordata; Aves; Passeriformes; Estrildidae. The record is from RNAcentral.